RNAcentral lists this ribosomal RNA (411 nucleotides) under bacterium enrichment culture clone ALO1_GLFRUDD03F6LZQ. RNAcentral describes it as "bacterial SSU rRNA". It matches the Rfam family "Bacterial small subunit ribosomal RNA", at positions 9 to 420 of the family's 1533-position model. The record is from RNAcentral.
GAGUUUGAUCCUGGCUCAGAUUGAACGCUGGCGGCAUGCCUUACACAUGCAAGUCGAACGGCAGCACGGGAGCUUGCUCCUGGUGGCGAGUGGCGAACGGGUGAGUAAUGCAUCGGAACGUAUCCUGGAGUGGGGGAUAACGUAGCGAAGGUUACGCUAAUACCGCAUAUUCUGUGAGCAGGAAAGCGGGGGACCUUCGGGCCUCGCGCUUUUGGAGCGGCCGAUGUCGGAUUAGCUAGUUGGUGAGGUAAAGGCUCACCAAGGCGACGAUCCGUAGCAGGUCUGAGAGGAUGAUCUGCCACACUGGAACUGAGACACGGUCCAGACUCCUACGGGAGGCAGCAGUGGGGAAUUUUGGACAAUGGGGGCAACCCUGAUCCAGCCAUGCCGCGUGAGUGAAGAAGGCCUCGG